CGGGUUCUGUUCCUCUCGUGCGGCGCCCUACAUCCUGGUGGCCUAACUUCUCGCACGGGAGCUGGCUCUGUUUCGGGUCGUGGCCUGAAGCAACCGGCGCCCACCUGGUUAUCCAGGCUGCGAGGAUUAGACGCGCUCACGGUCGCAACGGGCCCGCC
This 158-nucleotide unclassified non-coding RNA is filed under the name Albimonas donghaensis. RNAcentral describes it as "6S / SsrS RNA". Lineage: Bacteria; Pseudomonadati; Pseudomonadota; Alphaproteobacteria; Rhodobacterales; Paracoccaceae. The record is from RNAcentral.